This 465-nucleotide ribosomal RNA is filed under the name uncultured Klebsiella sp. Its description in RNAcentral is "bacterial SSU rRNA". It matches the Rfam family "Bacterial small subunit ribosomal RNA", at positions 338 to 795 of the family's 1533-position model. The record is from RNAcentral. Lineage: Bacteria; Pseudomonadati; Pseudomonadota; Gammaproteobacteria; Enterobacterales; Enterobacteriaceae.
CCUACGGGGGGCAGCAGUGGGGAAUAUUGCACAAUGGGCGCAAGCCUGAUGCAGCCAUGCCGCGUGUGUGAAGAAGGCCUUCGGGUUGUAAAGCACUUUCAGCGGGGAGGAAGGCGUUAAGGUUAAUAACCUUGUCGAUUGACGUUACCCGCAGAAGAAGCGCCGGCUAACUCCGUGCCAGCAGCCGCGGUAAUACGGAGGGUGCAAGCGUUAAUCGGAAUUACUGGGCGUAAAGCGCACGCAGGCGGUCUGUCAAGUCGGAUGUGAAAUCCCCGGGCUCAACCUGGGAACUGCAUUCGAAACUGGCAGGCUAGAGUCUUGUAGAGGGGGGUAGAAUUCCAGGUGUAGCGGUGAAAUGCGUAGAGAUCUGGAGGAAUACCGGUGGCGAAGGCGGCCCCCUGGACAAAGACUGACGCUCAGGUGCGAAAGCGUGGGGAGCAAACAGGAUUAGAUACCCGUGUAGUC